Elgaria multicarinata webbii is the source of this 116-nucleotide small nuclear RNA. RefSeq annotates it as U5 spliceosomal RNA. The record is from RefSeq and is a predicted model, not a curated record. The transcript has a single exon. NCBI's taxonomy places the organism in Eukaryota, Metazoa, Chordata, Lepidosauria, Squamata, Anguidae.
AUACUCUGGUUUCUCUUGAGAUUGCAUAAAUCUUUCACCUUUUACUAAAGUUUUCCAUGGAGAGGAACAUUUAUGAAUUUAUAACUACGUUUUUGAGGCUCUGCUUCGACAGAGCA